GUCCACGCCGUAAACGAUGAGUGCUAAGUGUUGCGAGUCAAAUCGCAGUGCUGAAGUUAACGCAAUAAGCACUCCGCCUGGGGAGUACGACCGCAAGGUUGAAACUCAAACGAAUUGACGGGGACCCGCACAAGCGGUGGAGCAUGUGGUUUAAUUCGAAGCAACGCGAAGAACCUUACCAGGGUUUGACAUACCAAUGAUAUUUCUAGAGAUAGAGAGUUCCUUCGGGACAUUGGAUACAGGUGGUGCAUGGUUGUCGUCAGCUCGUGUCGUGAGAUGUUGGGUUAAGUCCCGCAACGAGCGCAACCCUUAUCGUUAGUUGCCAUCAUUAAGUUGGGUACUUUAACGAGACUGCCAGUGAUAAACUGGAGGAAGGCGGGGAUGAGGUCAAAUCAUCAUGCCCCUUAUACCCUGGGCUACACACGUGCUACAAUGGUCGGUACAAAGAGAAGCGAAGCUGUGAAGUGAAGCAAACCUCAUAAAGCCGAUUUCAGUUCGGAUUGUAGUCUGCAACUCGACUACAUGAAGAUGGAAUCGCUAGUAAUCGUGGAUCAGCAUGCCACGGUGAAUACGUUCCCGGGUCUUGUACACACCGCCCGUCACACCACGAGAGUUUAUAACACCCGAAGUCAGUGGGCUAACCUCGCAAGAGGGGGCAGCUGCCUAAGGUGGGAUAGAUGAUUGGGGUGAAGUCGUAACAAGGUAACCGUA
RNAcentral lists this ribosomal RNA (711 nucleotides) under uncultured Bacillota bacterium. RNAcentral describes it as "bacterial SSU rRNA". It matches the Rfam family "Bacterial small subunit ribosomal RNA", at positions 793 to 1504 of the family's 1533-position model. Lineage: Bacteria; Bacillati; Bacillota. The record is from RNAcentral.